UAAAGAAAUAUUUUAAUAUAUUUUCAUUUCCCCCUUACAGGAGCAGAUCCCAAAUUCUGGGGAAGGAAAGAAGUUAUGAAUUAUAGAGUUCCAAGGGUUAAAUGUGUGGUUAUUGAUGACAAGGACCAUGCGUUUUGCCAUUCUUUGUAUUCUGGCGGCUGUGUCUGGAACAUAAGGAGGUACCUGUGGUCCAGAGAAAAGAAGCAACUUACUCAAGUUUAUGCAGCUAAAUCAAUGGCAAAGGAAGUAUCAUACAACAAUAAAUGUAGAAUUGGAAGGGGCCUUAAAGUCCACAGUGUGUAAACUCCUCACAUUCCAGUUAAAGAGGUUAAGAUAUAGAUAAGACAAAUUACUUGUGCAGGAUCACACAGUUCAUAAAUAUCUGAGGUGGUUUUCAGCCCAGGUCUUCUUAACUCUAAGUGAAGCACAUUGUGUCAACAAGGAUUGGGAUUCACUUCUUGUCUUUCCUUAUUUAGGAAGAUUUCAUUUGUACUAUGCUUCAGAAUAUAUUUUCUGUCUCUUCUAAUGUUUUAGUGAGGAACUUUGCUUUUUACAAUGGGUAUUUAGUAAGUAUUUAUUGGACAUGUUGAAGAUUAACAGGAAAAUAUAUGAUAUUGUUUUUUAUUUACUAGUUACAUCACUGCACUUUGCAAAAUGGGAGAGAAGGUCCUAAGAAUGUUUUCCCAUGAAUAACAAAAAAGUUUGUUUCUAGUUCAAUAAAAAAGAAGGGAAAGAAAUUUCA
Molecule: long non-coding RNA, 742 nt
Filed under: Monodelphis domestica (gray short-tailed opossum)
Lineage: Eukaryota; Metazoa; Chordata; Mammalia; Didelphimorphia; Didelphidae
Description: lncRNA (ENSMODG00000036523.1)
Source: RNAcentral